AGAGUUUGAUCCUGGCUCAGAUUGAACGCUGGCGGCAGGCCUAACACAUGCAAGUCGAACGAGAAGCUUCCUUCGGGAAGUGGAGAGUGGCGCACGGGUGAGUAACGCGUGGGAAUUUGCCUCCUGGUACGGGAUAACGUCUGGAAACGGACGCUAAUACCGUAUGUGGUCUACGGACCAAAGAUUUAUCGCCAGGAGAGGAGCCCGCGUAGGAUUAGGUAGUUGGUGUGGUAACGGCGCACCAAGCCGACGAUCUUUAGCUGGUCUGAGAGGACGAUCAGCCACACUGGAACUGAGACACGGUCCAGACUCCUACGGGAGGCAGCAGUGGGGAAUAUUGGACAAUGGGGGCAACCCUGAUCCAGCCAUGCCGCGUGAGUGAAGAAGGCCUUAGGGUUGUAAAGCUCUUUCGCUAGGGAAGAUAAUGACGGUACCUAGUAAAGAAGUCCCGGCUAACUCCGUGCCAGCAACCGCGGUAAUACGGAGGGGACUAGCGUUGUUCGGAAUUACUGGGCGUAAAGAGUACGUAGGCGGCUUGUCAAGUUGGGUGUGAAAGCCCGGGGCUCAACCCCGGAACUGCAUUCAAAACUGGCUGGCUAGAGAUCGGAAGAGGUAAGUGGAAUUCCCAGUGUAGAGGUGAAAUUCGUAGAUAUUGGGAAGAACACCGGUGGCGAAGGCGGCUUACUGGUCCGAGACUGACGCUGAGGUACGAAAGCGUGGGGAGCAAACAGGAUUAGAUACCCUGGUAGUCCACGCCGUAAACGAUGAAUGCUAGUUGUUGGGAGGUUUACCUUUCAGUGACGCAGCUAACGCAUUAAGCAUUCCGCCUGGGGAGUACGGUCGCAAGAUUAAAACUCAAAGGAAUUGACGG
Molecule: ribosomal RNA, 871 nt
Filed under: uncultured bacterium
Lineage: Bacteria
Description: bacterial SSU rRNA
Rfam family: Bacterial small subunit ribosomal RNA
Source: RNAcentral